UACGGAGGGUGCAAACGUUGCUCGGAAUCAUUGGGCGUAAAGCGCACGUAGGCGGCCUGAUAAGUCGGGUGUGAAAGCCCUGGGCUCAACCCAGGAAGUGCACUCGAAACUGUCAGGCUUGAAUAUGGAAGAGGGUCGCGGAAUUCCCGGUGUAGAGGUGAAAUUCGUAGAUAUCGGGAGGAACACCAGUGGCGAAGGGCGGCGACCUGGGCCAAUAUUGACGCUGAGGUGCGAAAGCGUGGGAGCAAACAGG
This 253-nucleotide ribosomal RNA is filed under the name uncultured bacterium. RNAcentral's name for it is "partial 16S ribosomal RNA". It matches the Rfam family "Bacterial small subunit ribosomal RNA", at positions 524 to 776 of the family's 1533-position model. The record is from RNAcentral.